Molecule: ribosomal RNA, 402 nt
Filed under: uncultured bacterium
Lineage: Bacteria
Description: bacterial SSU rRNA
Rfam family: Bacterial small subunit ribosomal RNA
Source: RNAcentral
UGGGGGAUAUUGCACAAUGGGGGAAACCCUGAUGCAGCAACGCCGCGUGAAGGAAGAAGGUCUUCGGAUUGUAAACUUUUGUCCUCAGUGAAGAUAAUGACGGUAGCUGAGGAGGAAGCUCCGGCUAACUACGUGCCAGCAGCCGCGGUAAUACGUAGGGAGCGAGCGUUGUCCGGAUUUACUGGGUGUAAAGGGUGCGUAGGCGGACUGGCAAGUCAGUGGUGAAAACUAUGGGCUUAACCCAUAGACUGCCAUUGAAACUGUUGGUCUUGAGUGAAGUAGAGGCAGGCGGAAUUCCCGGUGUAGCGGUGAAAUGCGUAGAGAUCGGGAGGAACACCAGUGGCGAAGGCGGCCUGCUGGGCUUUAACUGACGCUGAGGCACGAAAGUGUGGGUAGCAAACA